Molecule: non-coding RNA, 114 nt
Organism: Branchiostoma floridae (Florida lancelet)
Lineage: Eukaryota; Metazoa; Chordata; Leptocardii; Amphioxiformes; Branchiostomatidae
Source: Rfam
CUAGGGUACGGGGACAUGUACCCGCAGACGCCCGGCGGGAAGUUCGUCGGGUCCGUGUGCGCUGUCGCCGGCAUCCUGACUGUCGCGCUGCCGGUCCCUGUCAUCGUGACAAAC